Molecule: long non-coding RNA, 3111 nt
Filed under: Lathyrus oleraceus (garden pea)
Lineage: Eukaryota; Viridiplantae; Streptophyta; Magnoliopsida; Fabales; Fabaceae
Description: Pisum sativum (pea) long non-coding RNA (PSAT_LNC019889)
Source: RNAcentral
ACACAUUUUCUUACCAUAUUGUUUAUCUGUUGUGUUUUAAUCUUUCAUGUCUUGAGAGGACAAUACAACACAUUUUUUACCACUAUAUAAAGGACACUAUUGUUUAAUUGAUGUAAGGAGAGUUUGAACUUUAAAAGAUAUAAAUUGAUAAAACUAUUUCUUAAAUACAAAGGAAGAAAAAUGGCUGGAAUUAUCAAGUUUAUUCUUACUAUAAUUAUCUUUAUUUCUCUAUUGAUGGUGCCAUCCAACGCUGCAAGUAAGUUAAUUUUUUAAGAUUUAAAAAAUUUCCUUGUUACUUUGUACACAAUGUUUUAUCAAAUAUUAGCUAAACUUUUAUUCUUAUUUUUUCAAUAUAGAAACUGUUAAAUGUAUACAAGAUACGGAUUGUUUACAAUAUCAUAGGUGUAUGCCACCAAUGCUAAUGAAGUGUGACAAUAAACAAUGUAGAUGUGUUCCAGUGACCUAUUUCAUUCGUUAUGUUCCCGUAUGAUUCUUCAUAUUAAGUUCUCAUAUGGUUCUGCAUUUAGUGUUGUACCUAAGAGAUUAUUGUAUUGCUAUAUUAUAAUUUGUUUUUUUAUUUUUCAUUUCAAGAAUUUUGUAGUUAAGUUUAAUUUUAUUUAAAUCGAGUUCUUCUCUUUUAAUUUCAAAAUAUAUUCAUAGAUUUCAUUCCAGGUAUGUAUCAUGGUCAUUUCAAUCCUACCAUCUAUUAGAAUAAUACGUGUAAUAGUUAAGUUGAAUAACUGUUAUAUUGCUUAUAAGUCUGCACGUUUUUUUACAUGUUCAUGUUAUAGUAUCAAUACACUUCCCACCUUCAAUUUUCAUUUCUCUUAUAUUUUAAAUCUUUUAUUGGUCUCAUAUGUACUAUUCAAUUUUAAAAGAUAUGAAAAUAUAGAUAUUCACUAUAAAAAUGUAAAAAUCUAUUGUUAUAAGUGCAUAUUUUAUAGAAGAUUUGUUUAUGUUUCUACUUACUAACUAAAUAUAAUGUGUGGUUAAUAUAUUUUCUAUUUCAAAAGAAAUCUCGUAUAACUAAAUUGAAUUAGAUUAUGUAAGGUUAUAAUUUAUUAUAAAAUUUACAUGUAAUUUAAAAUGAAUAUGUUUCAAAAGACGUUUUUUUAUAUCUUUAAUUUUCUAUGAUUUUGUUGGGUUUUUUUUGAGAGGGGUAUAUAAAUUUGCAUUAUUAUUAUUAUUAUUAUUUUUAUUUUCUAAUUUUUAUAUUUAAAUUGGGGUGUGAGUUUUCUGGUGAGUAUGGGUGGUUGAGAGUUUCGUUAAAUUUAAAUUUAUUAAAUGAUUUAGAUUAUAAAAAAAAGUGUGAGAUAGAUGAAAAUGUAAGGUUUGGGAGAUAAGAAUUUUUUUUAACUGCGUCACAUGUAUAUGUGUGUGAUCAUAUAUGUAUUAAUUGUUUUGAUAUUACAUAUAAUUGGAUAUAAAGGUAAGCUAAUGGAUUAUCAUAGUAUAUUGUUUGUCCAUAACAAUUUAAUUUUGAAGAGUCAUAGUACAUCUUAAAAAACAACAUAGUAAACAUUGUUGUUUGUAAAAAAAAUUAGUGACAGUUAAGAAGAAUUUUUAUAAGGUUCCACAUAAUUAAUGAACUAGAAUAUAAAUAUAAUACAACCUAAGAGUACAUUAAUGAGCUUUGAAUAUGUACUAAUAUACACACAAAAAAGAUAUAAAUUAUGACAUAUCAUCUACAAAAUGAUUUUAACCUUUUGAAAUUUAUAGACCAUGACCAAAACCACCGGCUCACCUCCAAAAGAAUAACACUAAGUUAGCAUCAUAUAUGGAUUAUAAUAUGUUUGACACGCCACACACAAGAGGGAGUGACUCUUGGAUUUAAGAAAAGCAUCUUAUGUUAUCAUUUUUAAAGUUUAAAAAUAUCUUGAUUAAAAUAUUUAUAAAUUAGCAACGGAAAGUAAAUAUGUGAAAAAUUAAGAGUUAAGGGUAAGAGAAAUGAAAACAAAUAUUUAAACAGGUUCAAUCAAGAAGACUUAUUCAUGUCCAUAAUAUUUGAUCUUAAGAGUAUUCAGUAAUACUUAGAGAGUUUUGAGUAGGUUAAAAUCUUGAACCCACUAAUACAAGAAAAAAUGAAGUUUCAAAUUAACUUUCAACCAAACAAUGAACGAUGGAGUGAAGUGGUUAGUCUUCCUUCCAAAGAACGAACUUGAAGUGAUUAGUCUCAAAGCUAAAUCGUGAUUUUCUAUGGACUUGUCUCGAACCAAUAUGAGUUUUUAAUCUAACUAAAUUGGGGUUUUGACCAGACUGACCAUGAACCAAGAUGAGAUUUUUAAUCAUGCUUAUCUUGAACCAAAGUGAGUUUUUAACCAUGUUUAAAUCAUGAACUGAGUUGAUAUUUUGAAUAUGGUUGAUAUCAAGCCAAAGUAAGCUUUUAACGUAGGUUGAGCUUAAAAGCCGAACUGACGACUUAGAAACUAAAUCUCCAAACCAAAGCUUUUAAAGGGUUUAACUUUUAAAGAGUGAUGAAUGAGAUACAAGGAUCACUUUUAUGGAUAUGAAAAUGUGAAAGAAAAUGCCUCUAUUUAUAGGCUAAAGCUUUGAUCAAAAAAGGAAAUAUCCAUGGGCCUAAAUUAAUGAGCCAAAAUAAACAAUGUAGAUGUGUUCCAGUGACCUAUUUCAUUCGUUAUGUUCCCGUAUGAUUCUUCAUAUUAAGUUCUCAUAUGGUUCUGCAUUUAGUGUUGUACCUAAGAGAUUAUUGUAUUGCUAUAUUAUAAUUUGUUUUUUUAUUUUUCAUUUCAAGAAUUUUGUAGUUAAGUUUAAUUUUAUUUAAAUCGAGUUCUUCUCUUUUAAUUUCAAAAUAUAUUCAUAGAUUUCAUUCCAGGUAUGUAUCAUGGUCAUUUCAAUCCUACCAUCUAUUAGAAUAAUACGUGUAAUAGUUAAGUUGAAUAACUGUUAUAUUGCUUAUAAGUCUGCACGUUUUUUUACAUGUUCAUGUUAUAGUAUCAAUACACUUCCCACUUUCAAUUUUCAUUUCUCUUAUAUUUUAAAUCUUUUAUUGGUCUCAUAUGUACUAUUCAAUUUUAAAAGAUAUGAAAAUAUAGAUAUUCACUAUAAAAAUGUAAAAAUCUAUUGUUAUAAGUGCAUAUUUUAUAGAAGAUU